AGGCACGUGUGCCUUUUUGUAUGUACCGUAUGAAUAAGGAUCGGCUAACUCCGUGCCAGCAGCCGCGGUAAUACGGAGGAUCCGAGCGUUAUCCGGAUUUAUUGGGUUUAAAGGGAGCGUAGGCGGAUGCUUAAGUCAGUUGUGAAAGUUUGCGGCUCAACCGUAAAAUUGCAGUUGAUACUGGGUGUCUUGAGUACAGUAGAGGCAGGCGGAAUUCGUGGUGUAGCGGUGAAAUGCUUAGAUAUCACGAAGAACUCCGAUUGCGAAGGCAGCUUGCUGGACUGUAACUGACGCUGAUGCUCGAAAGUGUGGGUAUCAAACAGGAUUAGAUACCCUGGUAGUCCACACAGUAAACGAUGAAUACUCGCUGUUUGCGAUAUACAGUAAGCGGCCAAGCGAAAGCGUUAAGUAUUCCACCUGGGGAGUACGCCGGCAACGGUGAAACUCAAAGGAAUUGACGGGGGCCCGCACAAGCGGAGGAACAUGUGGUUUAAUUCGAUGAUACGCGAGGAACCUUACCCGGGCUUAAAUUGCAAAUGAAUGUUCUGGAAACAGAUCAGCCGCAAGGCAUUUGUGAAGGUGCUGCAUGGUUGUCGUCAGCUCGUGCCGUGAGGUGUCGGCUUAAGUGCCAUAACGAGCGCAACCCUUAUCGAUAGUUACCAUCAGGUUAUGCUGGGGACUCUGUCGAGACUGCCGUCGUAAGAUGUGAGGAAGGUGGGGAUGACGUCAAAUCAGCACGGCCCUUACGUCCGGGGCUACACACGUGUUACAAUGGGGGGUACAGAAGGCAGCUACACGGUGACGUGAUGCUAAUCCCUAAAACCUCUCUCAGUUCGGAUUGGAGUCUGCAACCCGACUCCAUGAAGCUGGAUUCGCUAGUAAUCGCGCAUCAGCCACGGCGCGGUGAAUACGUUCCCGGGCCUUGUACACACCGCCCGUCAAGCCAUGAAAGCCGGGGGUACCUGAAGUGCGUAACCGCGAGGAGCGCCCUAGGGUAAAACUGGUGAUUGGGGCUAAGUCGUAACAAGGUAGCCGUACCGGAAGGUGCGGCUG
Molecule: ribosomal RNA, 1053 nt
Filed under: gut metagenome
Description: bacterial SSU rRNA
Rfam family: Bacterial small subunit ribosomal RNA
Source: RNAcentral